This 391-nucleotide unclassified non-coding RNA is filed under the name soil metagenome. RNAcentral describes it as "partial contains 5.8S ribosomal RNA, internal transcribed spacer 2, and large subunit ribosomal RNA". The stretch from base 1 to 122 matches the Rfam family "5.8S ribosomal RNA", at positions 35 to 154 of the family's 154-position model. The record is from RNAcentral.
GAUGAAGAAUGCAGCGAAAUGCGAUACUUGGUGUGAAUUGCAGAAUCCCGUGAACCAUCGAGUCUUUGAACGCAAGUUGCGCCCGAAGCCACUAGGCCGAGGGCACGCCUGCCUGGGCGUCACACGCCGUUGCCCCCCCAUCUACUCCUUCGGGAUUGCGGGGGGGCGGAUGAUGGCCUCCUGUGCGCCUAGCCGCGCGGUUGGCAUAAAUACCAAGUCCUCGGCGACGCACGCCACGACAAUCGGUGGUUGCGAAACCUCGGUUGCCCGUCGUGUGCGUUCGUCGCGCAUCGAGGGCUCGAAAAAAUGCUCGGCUCCGGCUGGGCUUUCAACGCGACCCCAGGUCAGGCGGGGUUACCCGCUGAAUUUAAGCAUAUCAAUAAGCGGAGGA